GACGAACGCUGGCGGCGUGCUUAACACAUGCAAGUCGUACGGUAAGGCCCUUUCGGGGGUACACGAGUGGCGAACGGGUGAGUAACACGUGAGUAACCUGCCCACAACUUUGGGAUAACGCUAGGAAACUGGUGCUAAUACUGGAUAUGUGCUCCUGCUGCAUGGUGGGGGUUGGAAAGCUCCGGCGGUUAUGGAUGGACUCGCGGCCUAUCAGCUUGUUGGUGGGGUAGUGGCCUACCAAGGCGGCGACGGGUAGCCGGCCUGAGAGGGUGACCGGCCACAUUGGGACUGAGAUACGGCCCAGACUCCUACGGGAGGCAGCAGUGGGGAAUAUUGCACAAUGGGCGCAAGCCUGAUGCAGCAACGCCGCGUGCGGGAUGACGGCCUUCGGGUUGUAAACCGCUUUCAGCAGGGACGAAGCUUUUUGUGACGGUACCUGCAGAAGAAGCACCGGCUAACUACGUG
RNAcentral lists this ribosomal RNA (465 nucleotides) under uncultured bacterium. RNAcentral describes it as "partial 16S ribosomal RNA". It matches the Rfam family "Bacterial small subunit ribosomal RNA", at positions 28 to 507 of the family's 1533-position model. The record is from RNAcentral.